This 469-nucleotide ribosomal RNA is filed under the name uncultured bacterium. Its description in RNAcentral is "partial 16S ribosomal RNA". It matches the Rfam family "Bacterial small subunit ribosomal RNA", at positions 27 to 507 of the family's 1533-position model. The record is from RNAcentral.
GGACGAACGCUGGCGGCGUGCUUAACACAUGCAAGUCGAACGGAAAGGCCCUGCUUUUGUGGGGUGCUCGAGUGGCGAACGGGUGAGUAACACGUGAGUAACCUGCCCUUGACUUUGGGAUAACUUCAGGAAACUGGGGCUAAUACCGGAUAGGAGCUCCUGCUGCAUGUUGGGGGUUGGAAAGUUUCGGCGGUUGGGGAUGGACUCGCGGCUUAUCAGCUUGUUGGUGGGGUAGUGGCUUACCAAGGCUUUGACGGGUAGCCGGCCUGAGAGGGUGACCGGCGACAUUGGGACUGAGAUACGGCACAGACUCCUACGGGAGGCAGCAGUGGGGAAUAUUGCACAAUGGGCGGAAGCCUGAUGCAGCAACGACGCGUGCGGGAUGACGGCCUUCGGGUUGUAAACCGCUUUCGCCUGUGACGAAGCGUGAGUGACGGUAAUGGGUAAAGAAGCACCGGCUAACUACGUG